UACAGAGGUCUCGAGCGUUAGGCGGAAUCACUGGGCUUAAAGCGUGUGUAGGCGGAUCCGUAAGUACCUUGUGAAAUCCCACGGCUUAACCGUGGAACUGCUGGGUAUACUGCGGGUCUUGAGCCACCUAGGGGCGAGCGGAACAGAUGGUGGAGCGGUGAAAUGCGUAGAUAUCAUCUGGAACGCCAACGGUGAAAACAGCUCGCUGGGGGUGUGCUGACGCUGAGACACGAAAGCCAGGGGAGCAAACGGG
This 253-nucleotide ribosomal RNA is filed under the name uncultured bacterium. Its description in RNAcentral is "partial 16S ribosomal RNA". It matches the Rfam family "Bacterial small subunit ribosomal RNA", at positions 524 to 776 of the family's 1533-position model. The record is from RNAcentral.